This is a long non-coding RNA of Triticum aestivum (bread wheat), 2304 nucleotides long. RefSeq lists it as uncharacterized. Lineage: Eukaryota; Viridiplantae; Streptophyta; Magnoliopsida; Poales; Poaceae. The record is from RefSeq and is a predicted model, not a curated record. The transcript has 7 exons.
CCCUACAACCAAUCCCCACGCUCCUCGAGCCCCACGUCCGGUUCCUCCUCCCCCACUCUCCACCCCCACGCUCCCCGUGCAGCCGCCGCCUCUCCCCAUCCUCCCAUCUCGCAGGAGCCGCCGCUCCCCGGUUCUUUCCCUGCCCUCUGAGGAGCCCCCAUCCCAUCCUCGCACCAGAGCUCGGUGGCAGCGGAGAAGAGGAUCGAUGGUGGGAGAGGAUGGGAGAUUGAGGAGAGAGAGAACCGAUGCAGAGGAGAGGGGAGACAAGGUGGGCAGAGGCCAGGCGUCGUCACCGGAGACGCGGAUCUGCGGCGUAGUGGGAGAGGUGACGCCGGCUGGUGAGCGACUCACCACCAGCUACUGUUUGGCGCGGGCAUGGAGAAGGGUACCGGGGAUGUGCUGAUCUAUUUUCUUGUGGCUCUCCAUUAGCAUGAUUCCCCUCGACCACCAUAUCAAUCUGGCUGCCUUCUGUACAUGUGAUUUUGGUUGAGUUGUGGUUUUGACUAAAGCAGGCAAUCAACAAGAAAACAAUACCAUGUUCGAUACUAUUUGUACCAGUUUUGGUCAUCACUAAAGCUUGUGGGGACCAUGGGAAGCUAAUGUGGGUCUCCUAGCGGCGCAAUGGGAUACAUGAUAUCAGCAUGCCAUGCUUCCCCGACUAGGUCAUCGUCGUUGCGCACAGGAAAAGGAAAUUCACAAUUCAUACAAAGGAAUGCCAUGCUUCCUGUUUUUACUCCACUCUUGGCCUGGAUCCAAAGCCCCCCUUCGGUUUUGGAUGUGCUCUCUUAGGGGUAAUGCUGCCAUUGCCAUGGUCCACCACACUCGGUGCUGCAAGGGGGAUUGCCUUCCUGCACGAAGCUGAGAAGCCCGUCAUCUACAGGGAUUUCAAGACAUCCAACAUAUUGCCCGAUGAGGAGUACAAUGCAAAGCUCUCUGACUUCAGCCUAGCGAAAGACUGGACCGGUCAGUGACGAGUCACAUCUUGACCUACAUCAUAGUCUCCUAUGGUUAUACCGCCAUGGAGUACAUCAUGACAGCCAAACUAAAAAUUAGAGCAGCCAUCUAUGCCUCCUAGGAGGGCCAAGACCAGAACAUCACAAAAAUGUAACAUAUCAAGAAAUCAUUCUGUAAGAUAGUAUCCAUCCUAAGUUAUUAUUACCAUGUGAAAAGGUAGUUGUGCGGAAGAGCACAAUCUAUUAUUGUUGUGUCGUGUGCAUGCACACACAUAUUCCGUACAAUGUUAAUCUAAUAGUGUUUAUUACCAUAUGAAAAAUAUCAUAACUUGACAUGUACAUAUGCUCUUCUCUGUUAUGAGCACUUGAGUGUCUUGCGGUUGUAGCCAUGGCUAAAGUAGAACUUAAUUUGGUGACUAAUAUCAUGACUUGAGAUGUAUGAACAACCAUGGCUAAAGUAGAACUUAAUUUGGUGACUAAUAUCAUGACUUGAGAUGUAUGAAGUUUGCCUGUUGAAUUAAUUCCAUUUAGAAUCUAUGUGCUUGAGCCAGGCAAGAAAAAUAAGCAGCGCUUUUACCACCAUGAUAUGAAGUGUUACCUUGUGUGAGCAUUGAGUCUUGCUUCCUACUGAAAUAGAUAUAUGUCCCAAUGUCUUGUGACAUGUUCCUGCUAGAAAAUUAUGUGGGUCUGUGAUGUGAAAACUUGGAAAGGGGACUGAUUUGUCUCCCUUAUGAUAAUUGAGAAAUUCCAACACUGAUUUGUCUCCUGUCAUCUACGAUAUUUAUUAAUCUAUAUAGAUUGUUUCUCAGCCUGCUUUAUGCUUUAUUGAGUUGUUUGUAUGCUAUGUUUGCCUCAUUUGUAUAGGAAUCUCACUUACUCAUCUAUAACAAUUAGAGAGAGACACUGCUUUGUUUACCAGUUAAUUAAUAUAUAGGAAAAUUGGGGUUAGUUGUUUUUAGUAAUGAUUCCAUGCCAUUCGAUUUAGCUGUUUCUUCUCUGCUCAGUGUGUGUAUGCUUCCUAAUAAACACCUGACUAAUCACUUGGUACAUAGUCAUACCUAUUGAUCCCCUAUUUUCGUGGUGCCUGAGAAAUAGUACAAGCAUGUAUAAUCUACAGUUUAAGAAAGCUCAAACCCUUGCUAUUCUCGAUUCUUUUAUCACCUUUUGACAGCUUUAGGAUUAGCUAACUAGCACAGAAUUAUCCAGUUACUAUCAACAUUGGGUAUCUCAGCCGAAAUGAUAAGACAUACACUGCACUUACUUACAGUGUCAUCUUAGCAAUACAUCUUUAGAAUCAGAAAACAUUCUACAGAAAACAAACAAGUAUUAUUUGGGGCUGGACGAUGAUAUG